Molecule: ribosomal RNA, 369 nt
Filed under: Triticum aestivum (bread wheat)
Lineage: Eukaryota; Viridiplantae; Streptophyta; Magnoliopsida; Poales; Poaceae
Description: partial small subunit ribosomal RNA
Source: RNAcentral
AUGCCUAUCCCGCAUCCUCGUCGUCGAGUCGGCGGAGGACGACACCUGCUUGACCAGAUGGGCCAUGUCCGGGACUGGGCUCCGCCGGGGUGGUACUGGGAGGCGCUACCUACCGGGGGGCGCAGGUUGGUGAGGAGCCAGCCUGUCAUUGACCCAAACCUUCUUUGGUGGCGGUCGCGUGGGCCAGUGACAGUCCAGAGGGUCGAGGACCCCGCGGAGGUGGUGCGUCACCGUGUCAGUGAGGAGGACGCGCACGUCCGUUGCUACUUGUUUGUGUUGGAGCAUAGGUUCUCCAAUACCUGGCAGGUUCUCCAGGGAUCUCACUGGAGCUAUGAUCCUGUGAUGGUUCCUUCUCUGUGGGUGUAUUAG